AAUGGGUGUUAUUGUUUUGAAAAGAGGAGAGUGGUCAAGCAGUGCAGAUAACCUUUGAGUGAUAAAUUAUGAGCGAUUUUUUUCUGUUUAAAAUCAACAAUCCUUGAUUAAGGAGAACAGUAGCGCUUUGUUGCCUUAACGAUAUAAAUGAGUUUAAACUGGCAAACUAAUGGAAUUUCCGAUGGGUUUUAUGACAGUGCGAAGCAUAAACGAUCCAAGUAAAUGAGUACAAAAUUGGCUGAAACUGCAACAUCCUCUCUUUUCAGGCGCGCCUUGCGAGCUUCCAACGCCUCGGACAAUAUUUUCACCAAAUAACAGAAAAUGAAAAUGCCAAUAAUUAGCAAUGGAAAGAAAUCGAAUGUUUCCAUUUCUGCUUGUCGUUCAGGUGCCAACUGCACUGCCAAACUGUACAGUAACAGAUAAAUAAAAAUUGCCAUAAAGCGAUAAGAUAAUUCUGUUCAUGUGCAUAAUUAAACUGACUGAGAUUGUA
Molecule: long non-coding RNA, 490 nt
Organism: Dendroctonus ponderosae (mountain pine beetle)
Lineage: Eukaryota; Metazoa; Arthropoda; Insecta; Coleoptera; Curculionidae
Exons: 2
Source: RefSeq, a predicted model, not a curated record